RNAcentral lists this ribosomal RNA (293 nucleotides) under uncultured Flavobacterium sp. RNAcentral describes it as "partial 16S ribosomal RNA". It matches the Rfam family "Bacterial small subunit ribosomal RNA", at positions 1 to 301 of the family's 1533-position model. The record is from RNAcentral. Lineage: Bacteria; Pseudomonadati; Bacteroidota; Flavobacteriia; Flavobacteriales; Flavobacteriaceae.
UGACGAGUUUGAUCCUGGCUCAGGAUGAACGCUAGCGGCAGGCUUAACACAUGCAAGUCGAGGGGUAUAGUUCUUCGGAGCUAGAGACCGGCGCACGGGUGCGUAACGCGUAUGCAAUCUACCUUUUACAGGGGAAUAGCCCAGAGAAAUUUGGAUUAAUACCCCAUAGUAUAGCUGUAUCGCAUGAUACUACUAUUAAAGUCACAACGGUAAAAGAUGAGCAUGCGUCCCAUUAGCUAGUUGGUAUGGUAACGGCAUAGCAAGGCGACGAUGGGUAGGGGUCCUGAGAGGGA